Long non-coding RNA from Micropterus salmoides (largemouth bass), 480 nucleotides. RefSeq lists it as uncharacterized. NCBI's taxonomy places the organism in Eukaryota, Metazoa, Chordata, Actinopteri, Centrarchiformes, Centrarchidae. The transcript is spliced from 2 exons. The record is from RefSeq and is a predicted model, not a curated record.
CACAAGGUGGCGCAAAAUGCUCAAAUAACCGCCUUUGAAACGAACGAGAGGAGUGACACCUGAUGGGAAGCUGCGUAUCCUGACAGCUUUCUGUCUGUCCCGUGAGGCAAUGGAUUUCUGCAGCUGCUGAAUGCAGAGUGACAACUGAGCUGAGCUGCGGACUUCACAGAGGGCUUUACGCCACAACCUCAUCCCUGGAGCCACCUCUUCCUCGCUGCUUAGAGGUCACAGAGAGUAAGACUGUGGUGUAACUGGACAGCAUUCACAUACAGUCUGUGACAUUAUCACACUGAAUGACCGAAAGUAAAGAAGGAAAUAGUCUUUAGUAGGGCUGAACGAUUUUGAAAAAAAAAUCUGUAAUUGCGAUUAUUUUGACUGAUAUUGUAAUUGUGAUAUACUAUGUGAUAAUGGGGGUAAUCAUAAUUAUCCACAUUUUCAUUGAAAAACAUAUUAAAAUGAAUUAUGGUGUGAUUUUUGCAA